RNAcentral lists this ribosomal RNA (301 nucleotides) under uncultured bacterium. RNAcentral's name for it is "partial 16S ribosomal RNA". It matches the Rfam family "Bacterial small subunit ribosomal RNA", at positions 509 to 807 of the family's 1533-position model. The record is from RNAcentral.
CAGUCGCCACGGUAAUACGUAGGGUGCGAGCGUUAAUCGGGAUUACUGGGCGUAAAGCGUGCGCAGGCGGUUUUGUAAGACAGGCGUGAAAUCCCCGGGCUCAACCUGGGAAUGGCGCUUGUGACUGCAAAGCUAGAGUGCGGCAGAGGGGGAUGGAAUUCCGCGUGUAGCAGUGAAAUGCGUAGAUAUGCGGAGGAACACCGAUGGAGAAGGCAAUCCCCUGGGCCUGCACUGACGCUCAUGCACGAAAGCGUGGGGAGCAAACAGGAUUAGAUACCCCGGUAGUCCCUGUCUCUUAUAC